This 230-nucleotide unclassified non-coding RNA is filed under the name uncultured fungus. RNAcentral's name for it is "sequence contains ITS1, 5.8S rRNA gene". The stretch from base 182 to 230 matches the Rfam family "5.8S ribosomal RNA", at positions 1 to 49 of the family's 154-position model. Lineage: Eukaryota; Fungi. The record is from RNAcentral.
UCUCCGUAGGUGAACCUGCGGAGGGAUCAUUACUGAGUGAGGGUCUCCGGGCCCGACCUCCAACCCUUUUGUGAACCACCUCGUUGCUUCGGGGGCGACCCUGCCGUUCCGGCACCGGCGCCCCCGGAGGACUUCCAACCCUGCAUCAUUGCGUCGGAGUAUUUUUUGUAAAUCUAAACAAAACUUUCAACAACGGAUCUCUUGGUUCUGGCAUCGAUGAAGAACGCAGC